AUUGAACGCUGGCGGCACGCUUAACACAUGCAAGUCGAACGGCAGCAUGUUUGUGUAGCGAUACUUGAAUGAUGGCGAGUGGCGGACGGGUGAGUAAUGCAUAGGGAUCUACCUUGUAGAGGGGGAUAACGUUAGGAAACUGGCGCUAAAACCGCAUACGACUCUGAGGAGGAAAGCAGCCUGUUAAAGGGUUGUGCUAGAAGAGGAACCUAUGUCAGAUUAGCUAGUUGGUGGGGUAAAGGCCUACCAAGGUGACGAUCUGUAGCUGGUCUGAGAGGAUGAACAGCCACACUGGGACUGAGACACGGCCCAGACUCCUACGGGAGGCAGCAGUGGGGAAUAUUGGACAAUGGGGGCAACCCUGAUCCAGCGAUGCCGCGUGUGUGAAGAAGGCCUUCGGGUUGUAAAGCACUUUCAGUAGGGAGGAAAGGUUGGUGGUUAAGAGCUGCUAGCUGUGACGAUACCUACAGAAGAAGCACCGGCUAACUCUGUGCCAGCCGCCGCCGUAA
RNAcentral lists this ribosomal RNA (509 nucleotides) under uncultured bacterium. RNAcentral describes it as "partial 16S ribosomal RNA". It matches the Rfam family "Bacterial small subunit ribosomal RNA", at positions 30 to 523 of the family's 1533-position model. The record is from RNAcentral.